Molecule: transfer RNA, 72 nt
Filed under: Phrynosoma platyrhinos (Desert horned lizard)
Lineage: Eukaryota; Metazoa; Chordata; Lepidosauria; Squamata; Phrynosomatidae
Description: tRNA-OTHER
Source: RNAcentral
UCCAGCGUGGUGUAGUGGUUUCAGUGUUGGACUAUGAUUCUGGAGACCAGGAUUCAAAUCCCCGCUCAGGCU